This 473-nucleotide ribosomal RNA is filed under the name uncultured organism. RNAcentral describes it as "partial 16S ribosomal RNA". It matches the Rfam family "Bacterial small subunit ribosomal RNA", at positions 330 to 799 of the family's 1533-position model. The record is from RNAcentral.
CGUACACUCCUGCGGGAGGCAGCAGUGAGGAAUAUUGGACAAUGGGUGGAAGCCUGAUCCAGCCAUCCCGCGUGCAGGAAGACGGCCCUAUGGGUUGUAAACUGCUUUUAUCUGGGGAUAAACCUACUUACGUGUAAGUAGCUGAAGGUACCAGAAGAAUAAGCACCGGCUAACUCCGUGCCAGCAGCCGCGGUAAUACGGAGGGUGCAAGCGUUAUCCGGAUUUAUUGGGUUUAAAGGGUCCGUAGGCGGACUGAUAAGUCAGUGGUGAAAUCCGACAGCUUAACUGUCGAACUGCCAUUGAUACUGUUAGUCUUGAGUAAGGUUGAAGUGGCUGGAAUAAGUAGUGUAGCGGUGAAAUGCAUAGAUAUUACUUAGAACACCAAUUGCGAAGGCAGGUCACUAAGUCUUAACUGACGCUGAUGGACGAAAGCGUGGGGAGCGAACAGGAUUAGAAACCCGUGUAGUCCCAUG